AUGUAUUGGAGAUGCCAGUACCAUGUGAUAAUCACCAAGAACCGCAGCUGCAGUGUAGUGGAUCAAUCUGAACUUAAAAUGCCAUGGAGGACAGAGCUGGAAAAUAACCUGAACUGGAAACAGAGUGGGGGAACUGAGUGGACCAAGGAAGAUGAAAUCAAUCUCAUCCUCAGGAUAGCUGAGCUUGAUGUAGCUGAUGAAAAUGACAUAAACUGGGAUCUUCUAGCUGAGGGAUGGAGCAGUGUUCGUUCACCACAGUGGCUUCGAAGUAAAUGGUGGACCAUCAAAAGGCAAAUCGCAAACCAUAAGGAUGUUUCGUUUCGUGCUUCAACAGACUCCCCUGUUGCUUCUGUUGACUCAGAAACAAUAACACUAAACAGUGGAACACUACAAACAUUUGAGAUUCUUCCAUCUUUCCAUUUACAGCCUACUGGUACUCCAGGCACCUACCUUCUUCAAACAAGCUCAAGUCAAGGCCUUCCCCUAACACUGACCACAAGUCCCACAGUAACCCUGGCAGCUCCUGCUUCUCCUGAAUAGAUCAUUGUUCAUGCUUUAUCCCCGGAACAUUUGUUGAACACAAGUGACAAUGUCACAGUACAGUGUCACACACCAAGAGUCAUCAUUCAAACUGUUGCUACAGAGGACAUCGCUUCUUCAAUAUCCCAAGCAGAACUGACAGCUGAUAGUGAUUUUCAUUCAUCUGAUUUUCCUGAGCCUCCAGAUGCACUAGAAGCAGACACUUUCCCAGAUGAAAUUCCUCGGCCUAAGAUGACUAUACAACCAUCAUUUAAUAAUGCUCAUGUGUCUAAAUACAGUGACCAAAAUAGCACAGAACUGAUGAAUAGUGUCAUGGUCAGAACAGAGGAAGAAAUUGCUGACACUGACCUUAAGCAAGAACAGCCUUCCGACUUAGCCAGUGCUUAUGUUACUGAGGAUUUAGAGUCUCCUACCAUAGUACACCAAGUUCAUCAGACAAUUGAUGAUGAGACAAUACUUAUCGUUCCUUCACCACAUGGCUUUAUCCAGGCAUCUGAUGGUAUAGACGCUGAGUCUGUCUUGCCUUUGACAACACUAACAGAUCCCAUAUUUCAACAUCAUCAGGAAGAAUCUAAUAUAAUUGGAUCAUCUUUGGGCAGUCCUGUUUCUGAGGACUCAAAGGAUGUUGAGGACUUGGUAAACUGUCACUAGAUUGUUAGAAGCAGGUACUUCAGGAAGCCACAUUGUUGACUACAUUGUCUCCAAAGAAAGGAGCCAUCCCAAGAGUCCUGGUCUGCCAUUCCUCUGGCCUGUGCAUAGCUGCUGUGCUUAAGCCAUGCACAUCGUUGCUGCUGUUACCUUCUACCUCCUUUUAAGUAGAUCAUCUGAGGUCCAAUUUUAUAAGUGUGUUAUGAUGGAGGACAGGAAGUGUGAGCUGCCCAGACUUGUUAAGUUUUGUGUCAAGAGGGAGUUGCAGUCACUGCAGCUACUUCUGUCACCAAAGCUUAACUCCUCUGGUUUACUUCUAAACAGUAAUACCCAUCUCUGCGGUGGACACUGAGCUCUGCCCAGACUCAGGCCGGUCUGCUUACAAUUCAGGUUAUAUUAGCAACAAGGUCCAGCUCACCUUAGCAGUGACUUUCAGAAAGACUAACUUAGGAGUUUAUGACAUGACCAGCAUCCAGGUCCAAGAUCAUGGGAGGUGGCUGUGAUGGUUAACCCAUUGCUGGCAGUGGGAGCUGACUGAGGCAGGGUAAAGGACAAAGCAGAGAAUCAAGAAAAUUCACUACAGGUCUUUGGUUUUUAACUUUUAAAGGGAAUGUGGGUAAAGUGGUAACACAAUGCACUGGUAACCAAGCAGUUAUCACCCUCAUCAGAAACCAGUCCUUAGUUUACAGUUAGCACUUUGAAGUGAGAUUAAAUGAAGGGAGGUAAUAUUGCCUGUAUUUGAUAACCAUGACUUUUUUUUAUUACACGUUUUACUAUAUAAAUUGCCCAGAAGAUAGUUGAGGGGUAUUAGAGUAUGCUGUUCACUUAGUGCAUUACCUGGUGGGGGUACAGUAUAGCUUCUCCCUCAGGCACUUUUAAAAAACAAAGUUUGCUUCUGUAUCAAAAGAAAACAAAUCAACAGUCAUUCCUAAGGUAAAGCCAAAAGUAGCCUCUAGG
Rattus norvegicus (Norway rat) is the source of this 2145-nucleotide non-coding RNA. NCBI's taxonomy places the organism in Eukaryota, Metazoa, Chordata, Mammalia, Rodentia, Muridae. The record is from RefSeq and is a predicted model, not a curated record.